UGGGGAAUCUUGGACAAUGGGGGCAACCCUGAUCCAGCCAUGCCGCGUGAGUGAUGAAGGCCUUAGGGUCGUAAAGCUCUUUCGCCUGUGAAGAUAAUGACGGUAGCAGGUAAAGAAACCCCGGCUAACUCCGUGCCAGCAGCCGCGGUAAUACGGAGGGGGUUAGCGUUGUUCGGAAUUACUGGGCGUAAAGCGCACGUAGGCGGACCAGAAAGUUGGGGGUGAAAUCCCGGGGGCUCAACCCCGGAACUGCCUCCAAAACUAUUGGUCUAGAGUUCGAGAGAGGUGAGUGGAAUUCCAAGUGUAGAGGUGAAAUUCGUAGAUAUUUGGAGGAACACCAGUGGCGAAGGCGGCUCUCUGGGCCGACACCCGACGCUGAAGGGCAAAGCUAGGGGGAGCAAAACAGGAUUAGAUACCCCUGGUAGUCCUAGCCGUAAAACGUUGGGUACUAGGUGUGGCGGAUUCAUUGACAU
RNAcentral lists this ribosomal RNA (473 nucleotides) under uncultured bacterium. RNAcentral describes it as "bacterial SSU rRNA". It matches the Rfam family "Bacterial small subunit ribosomal RNA", at positions 355 to 837 of the family's 1533-position model. The record is from RNAcentral.